This 69-nucleotide transfer RNA is filed under the name Heterocephalus glaber (naked mole-rat). It matches the Rfam family "tRNA". Rfam says of the family: Transfer RNA (tRNA) molecules are approximately 80 nucleotides in length. Their secondary structure includes four short double-helical elements and three loops (D, anti-codon, and T loops). Lineage: Eukaryota; Metazoa; Chordata; Mammalia; Rodentia; Bathyergidae. The record is from Rfam by way of RNAcentral.
GGAGCUGGAGCUCAGUGGUAGAGUGCUUGCCUACCACGCAUGAGGCCAUGGGUUCAAACCCCAGUGCCA